Molecule: ribosomal RNA, 510 nt
Filed under: Ptycta diastema
Lineage: Eukaryota; Metazoa; Arthropoda; Insecta; Psocodea; Psocidae
Description: partial 16S ribosomal RNA
Rfam family: Bacterial large subunit ribosomal RNA (bases 377-510)
Source: RNAcentral
AACACAUGUCUUUUUGAUAAAAAUUUAAAGUCAGGUCUGCUCACUGAAUUAUUUUAAAGAGCCGCAGUAUAUUGACUGUGCAAAGGUAGCAUAAUCAAUAGUUUUUUAAUUGGAAACUAGAAUGAAAGAUUAGACGAAAAAUUAAUUUUCUUUGUUUUAAUAAAUUUAAUUUUAAAUUUAAGUGAAAAUGCUUAAAUAAAAUUAAAAGACGAGAAGACCCUAUAGAUUUUUAUUAUUGAAAUAAAUUUUUAAAUUUAAUUUAAUAAAAUAAUUUAAUUGGGGCGAUUUUAUAAUAUAAAUAACUUAAUUUUUUAAAACCAUAAAUAAUUGAAUAUUUGAUCUAAAAUUUUUAAAGAAAAGAUUAAAUUACCUUAGGGAUAACAGCGUAAUUUUAUUUAAGAGUUCAUAUCUAUAAUAAAGUUUGCGACCUCGAUGUUGAAUUAAGAUAAUAUAUUGGAGUAGAAAUUAAUAUAAUUAGUCUGUUCGACUAUUAAAUUCUUACGUGAUCUG